UGGUUAAGUAGUUCAGGUAAACUUGGC
RNAcentral lists this non-coding RNA (27 nucleotides) under Homo sapiens (human). Lineage: Eukaryota; Metazoa; Chordata; Mammalia; Primates; Hominidae. The record is from RNAcentral.